This 1386-nucleotide ribosomal RNA is filed under the name metagenome. RNAcentral describes it as "bacterial LSU rRNA". It matches the Rfam family "Bacterial large subunit ribosomal RNA", at positions 1522 to 2925 of the family's 2925-position model. The record is from RNAcentral.
GGGGUGCUUGGUAGUGAAGUACGUCAAGCAAAAGCCUGAGCCGAAGAGGGAGCGAAAUCAAGUAGCGAAGCAUGCGAUUUCACGCUGGCGAGAAAAGUUGCUAGUAUAUCGAAGAGGCGCCCGUACCGCAAUCCGACGCAGGUAGGCGAGAAGAGAAUUCUAAGACGAACGGGAGAAUCCUUGUUAAGGAACUCGGCAAAAUGACCCCGUAACUUCGGGAGAAGGGGUGCCGAUGGAAACAUCGGUCGCAGAGAAUAGGCUCAAGCAACUGUUUAGCAAAAACACAGGUAUCUGCGAAAGAGAGAUCUGACGUAUAGGUGCUGACACCUGCCCGGUGCUGGAAGGUUAAGGGGAAAUGUUAGGGCAACCGAAGCAUAGAACCGAGGCCCCAGUAAACGGCGGCCGUAACUAUAACGGUCCUAAGGUAGCGAAAUUCCUUGUCGGGUAAGUUCCGACCCGCACGAAUGGUGUAAUGAUUUGAGCGCUGUCUCAGCAGGGAGCCCGGUGAAAUUGAAGUAUGGGUGAAGAUGCCCAUUACCCGCGACUGGACGGAAAGACCCCGUAGAGCUUGACUGUAGCUUGAUAUUGGAUUUCGGUAACGGAUGCACAGCAUAGGUGGGAGACAGGGAAACCACUACUUCGGUAGUGAUGGAGUCGCCGUUGGGAUACCACUCUUCUGUUAUUGGAAUUCUAACAUAGCGCCAUGAAACUGGUGGAUGGACAGUGUCAGGUGGGCAGUUUGACUGGGGCGGUCGCCUCCAAAAGAGUAACGGAGGCGCCCAAAGGUACCCUCAGAAUGGAUGGAAACCAUUCAAAGAGUGCAAAGGCAGAAGGGUGCUUGACUGUGAGAGUGACAACUCGAUCAGAGACGAAAGUCGGGCUUAGUGAUCCGGCGGUAUUGAGUGGAAAAGCCGUCGCUUAACGGAUAAAAGCUACCUCGGGGAUAACAGGCUGAUCUCCCCCAAGAGUCCACAUCGACGGGGAGGUUUGGCACCUCGAUGUCGGCUCGUCGCAUCCUGGGGCUGAAGCAGGUCCCAAGGGUUUGGCUGUUCGCCAAUUAAAGCGGCACGCGAGCUGGGUUCAGAACGUCGUGAGACAGUUCGGUCCCUAUCCAUCGUGGGCGUAGGAGUCAUGAAGGGAGCUGUUCCUAGUACGAGAGGACCGGAAUGGACGCACCACUGGUGCAACUGUAGUCGUGCCAACGGCAUAGCAGGGAAGCGAAGUGCGGAUGGGAUAAACGCUGAAGGCAUCUAAGCGUGAAGCCCACCUUAAGAAUAAGACUCCAAGCAGCAAUGCGAGAGACCCCUGGAAGACUACCAGGUGAUAGGUCAUCGGUGGAAGUGCAGUAAUGCAUGCAGCUUGAUGAUACUAAUCGGUCGAUAGCUU